RNAcentral lists this unclassified non-coding RNA (619 nucleotides) under Hevea brasiliensis (rubber tree). The record is from RNAcentral. Lineage: Eukaryota; Viridiplantae; Streptophyta; Magnoliopsida; Malpighiales; Euphorbiaceae.
CAUUUCUAAUUCUAGGGUUUCUCUCUGCAAGUCUUGUGCAUUAGUCCUUGUUAUGUGUAGAGGAUUUUGUCUUUAGGGUUGCUGCACGUGGUCUUUGAAUGUGGUCUUUUUUUUUUUUAAUUUCGCAAAUUCCAUAAAGCUGUGGAAUUUCUUGGAGCCUUAUGGAGUCUUUGCUUGAUUUUUAGCUGGUUAGCUAUUUAAUUGUUUGAUUGGAAUUGGAAUUGUGAGAGAUUUAGGUGACUUUUCUCUGAUGGGUUAAUUCCUGCUUUAGCAUCACAUCAACUGUUCUCUCAUUAGCAUAUGAAUAUGAUCGGUGUAUUCUAUGUGGCUACUUCCUCCAAAUUGAUUUGCAGAAUUUCGAGGAGAAGUUUAAGCAAUUACUUUAGCCUUGAUGUUAUUUAUGAAUGGCAUGGCAUUAAUUCAUUUCAGCUAUCUUACUACCUUGUUCAUCUUCUUGAAUUUCUUCUGAUAAGUAUGAAGUAUCACUUCCUUACUACAUUAACAUGGCAAGUGUCUUUCCUUUUUUAUUUUUUGGAACUGCGGCAAAGUGUCUUUCCUAUAACAAAAGGACUGGGUGAUUUGAAUUGCCAACGGUGAUAAGUUUUUGUUAGAAUGAAUG